UCCUUCCCAGCAGCGCAAAAUAAAAACAUCUCGAAUGCGGAGUUUUGUAGGACUACAGAGGAGAGGUGGCAGAGGAAAUACACUUUUAUUUUCUUUAAUCGUUUUGCAAAUGCUGUUUAAUUUCAAGAUCUGAAGCAAUAUAAAGACCUCAAAGAGAAAUGUAGAACAAGGAAUGUAAAAUGUGUUUUAUUCUAUGAUCAAAAUGCUUUCUUUGUCGCAACAUUUUGGUUUUACCUAAUGCAUUUUUUUAUUUCAAAAAGUACAUUUCUUGCAUGUAAUUCUUGUGAAGUGCGCAUUAGAUUUUUGUAUUGAAAUUUUGCUUGGUAUGUAGGCCUAUUUAGGCUUUCAUGCGCUGGUGGGAAGUGUGAAAUUGGGAAGUGCAAAUUUGUAAGUCCAACAUGGUUGUGUUCAAGUGCUUUUGAAAUCGGAACAAUUCUUAAACCAAUAAGAUUUUAACGUUGCCAAUAAUAAAGUUAGUUAGCUUAACAUAAAUGUGUAAUUAUCAAAGCGGAUUUGUUGUAAUCUUUUGGGUUGAAAAGGUGAAAGGUGAAACGUCACAACUCAGCAACGACAGAGACGGAAGAGGAAGCGAGACAUCCCACUCUUGUCGUUUUUUUCUGUUUCAAUGGAUGUCAGUGAACUAAGUAGUAGACAGACCCAGCUGCUAUCACUAUGGAAGAGCCAUCCCCAUAUUAAGUAAACUGGAACUGGCUAUUUAUUUCAGUGGUAAACGGCCUAAGGGAACUAUCUUCAAUUUUUCCACCAUCUUUGCCAAAAUUUCAUGCCAGUGUCCCACUUGCAAUUAUGGGCGCGUUUGAGUGGAAAGGCGAAUGCAACUGACUGUAGACGACAGUUGAGGACUGAGGUCGGGAGGGUGUAUCUGCGACAGCUGAAAAUCUGACAGUAAUGUGGUCUACCAACAGCAAGUCUCAGAUCAACAUGGCUCACUGAGUUGCUAAGGCAGAGGAAAAGAAGAAUCAUCUGCAUCAUCUUUUUUUAUUUGAACAUUUUAUUGUCAUUUUUUUUAAAUUGUUUUGAACAUUGAGGAAUGUUGAGUAAAUUAAUUGAAACCAUAA
This is a long non-coding RNA of Salvelinus fontinalis (brook trout), 1076 nucleotides long. RefSeq lists it as uncharacterized. Lineage: Eukaryota; Metazoa; Chordata; Actinopteri; Salmoniformes; Salmonidae. The record is from RefSeq and is a predicted model, not a curated record. The transcript has 2 exons.